GGUUCCUUAGAUCGUACCCACAUUUACUUGGAUAACUGUGGUAAUUCUAGAGCUAAUACAUGCAAACAGAGCCCCGACCGGAGACGGAAGGGGCGCUUUUAUUAGAUCAAAACCAAUCGGUGGCGGGCUUCGCGCUCCUCAUCGUACAUUUUGGUGACUCUGAAUAACUUUUUGCUGAUCGCACGGUCUAGCACCGGCGACGCAUCUUUCAAAUGUCUGCCUUAUCAACUGUCGAUGGUAGGUUCUGCGCCUACCAUGGUUGUAACGGGUAACGGGGAAUCAGGGUUCGAUUCCGGAGAGGGAGCCUGAGAAACGGCUACCACAUCCAAGGAAGGCAGCAGGCGCGCAAAUUACCCACUCCCGGCACGGGGAGGUAGUGACGAAAAAUAACGAUACGGGACUCAUCCGAGGCCCCGUAAUCGGAAUGAGUACACUCUAAACCCUUUAACGAGGAUCAAUUGGAGGGCAAGUCUGGUGCCAGCAGCCGCGGUAAUUCCAGCUCCAAUAGCGUAUAUUAAAGUUGUUGCGGUUAAAAAGCUCGUAGUCGAAUCUGUGUCUCGCGCCGCCGGUGCAUCGCUCGCGGUGUUUAACUGGCGUGUCCGCGAGACGUCCUGCCGGUGGGCUUAGCCCGGCAACGGGCGGCCCAACUUGAAAUCCCACCGCGGUGCUCUUGACUGAGUGUCGAGGUGGGCCGGCACGUUUACUUUGAACAAAUUAGAGUGCUUAAAGCAGGCUAAAACUUCGCCUGAAUACUGUGUGCAUGGAAUAAUGGAAUAGGACCUCGGUUCUAUUUUGUUGGUUUUCGGAACCCCGAGGUAAUGAUUAAUAGGAACGGAUGGGGGCAUUCGUAUUGCGACGUUAGAGGUGAAAUUCUUGGAUCGUCGCAAGACGGACAGAAGCGAAAGCAUUUGCCAAAAACGCUUUCAUUGAUCAAGAACGAAAGUUAGAGGUUCGAAGGCGAUCAGAUACCGCCCUAGUUCUAACCAUAAACGAUGCCAGCUAGCGAUCCGCCGACGUUCCUCCGAUGACUCGGCGGGCAGCUUCCGGGAAACCAAAGCUUUUGGGUUCCGGGG
Molecule: ribosomal RNA, 1073 nt
Filed under: Berosus halasi
Lineage: Eukaryota; Metazoa; Arthropoda; Insecta; Coleoptera; Hydrophilidae
Description: SSU rRNA
Rfam family: Eukaryotic small subunit ribosomal RNA
Source: RNAcentral